Humulus lupulus (European hop) is the source of this 255-nucleotide long non-coding RNA. RefSeq lists it as uncharacterized. The transcript has 3 exons. The record is from RefSeq and is a predicted model, not a curated record. NCBI's taxonomy places the organism in Eukaryota, Viridiplantae, Streptophyta, Magnoliopsida, Rosales, Cannabaceae.
UCGGCCUAGAGGGAAGGAGAGAGAGACUAGGCAUUUUCUAGAGAGAGAAGAAGAACAAGAAGAAAGAAGAGAGGACCAGAUCUCUUUAUAGGAUUUGAGCAAGGUGGUGGCCAUAGUUGGUUCUAGUGUUCUCUCAAGGAAGCGUGAUGAACGCGACACAAAAAAAGGGCUUACUAAGGAUGUGAAGACGUGACCCGAUUUACUAAGGAUAUAUAGACGUAAUUCAUAGGGUAGACGCGCCAAAGUUAUUCAAGG